CGGCGACGGGUGAGUAAUGCUUCGGAAUCUACCCAAUGGUGGGGAAUAACCAGCCGAAAGGUUGGCUAAUACCGCAUAAGUCCUACGGGAGAAAGCAGGGGAUCGUAAGACCUUGCGCCGAUGGAUGAGCCGAAGCCGGAUUAGCUAGUUGGUAGGGUAACGGCCUACCAAGGCGACGAUCCGUAGCUGGUCUGAGAGGACGACCAGCCACACUGGGACUGAGACACGGCCCAG
RNAcentral lists this ribosomal RNA (234 nucleotides) under uncultured bacterium. Its description in RNAcentral is "partial 16S ribosomal RNA". It matches the Rfam family "Bacterial small subunit ribosomal RNA", at positions 102 to 334 of the family's 1533-position model. The record is from RNAcentral.